UGAAGAACUGAAGAUCGUAAUUUCGCAAUACGUAAUACAACAAAAAAGGCAACCUCAAAAAGUCACUCUGUGUCACUCUCUUUGCAAAGCGCAGAGAGAGAGAGAGAGAGAGAGAGAGACGUACGGUGGUCGUAAAGUUAUAACUUGUUUCUACCUCUGAUAAUGGAAAAAGAGUAUCUUUGAAAGGAAGUUCUGAAGUGGCAGACAUGGUAUUGUUGUAAUGUCUAUGAAAAUGAGGGAAAAUCAACAGUUUUGAGUGCAAGUUGCCAGAGUAUCGUCCAGGUACUUUGUUGGGUUCCUAGAGCAGCAGAAAAAAAAAAGAAAAAGCAUUUUCUUGUGCUGUGGAUAUUCCCAUUAUUUGGUUCUUUGAGCUUAUGAAGAACUUGACAUGCUGACCUAAUUAUUCUCUUCACUCCAAUGGAAGAUUUUCAUGCUGACUAUU
Molecule: long non-coding RNA, 442 nt
Organism: Juglans microcarpa x Juglans regia
Lineage: Eukaryota; Viridiplantae; Streptophyta; Magnoliopsida; Fagales; Juglandaceae
Exons: 2
Source: RefSeq, a predicted model, not a curated record